GAUUUGACAGGCAAAACGAAAUUUGCUAAAUUGUGCUGGCAAGUGACACAUGGACGUAUUUGCUCUGCUAUUAAGUAUAUUGUUUAAAUGUUUUCUGAUGUAUCAUAUGCCACUAAACAUUAUUGAUUGGAAUGAAUGUCAGGUUUAAAAGAAUAUGAUGUACAUAAACUAUACAAAUAAUUUAUUUCUUAACAAUUUUUCAGUAGUGAACAUGGUAAAGAUCACAUUUAAUUUGUGUGACGUGAAACGAAGUCACAAAUCAACCAACGAGGCGAUAUACUUCUUAAUGUUUCUACAUAUAUGCAACUCUAUAGCAAAAUAAUACAACAUAUCGGAUAAUGUGUACUGGAAUAAAUUCGGAAGAUUGUUAUUAAAGAAGUAAAUUAAUGGCA
Long non-coding RNA from Folsomia candida, 392 nucleotides. RefSeq lists it as uncharacterized. NCBI's taxonomy places the organism in Eukaryota, Metazoa, Arthropoda, Collembola, Entomobryomorpha, Isotomidae. The transcript is spliced from 2 exons. The record is from RefSeq and is a predicted model, not a curated record.